RNAcentral lists this ribosomal RNA (148 nucleotides) under uncultured bacterium. RNAcentral describes it as "partial 16S ribosomal RNA". The record is from RNAcentral.
AGUGUUUUCCCAUCGGGCGAAGCCUGACGACGCCACGCCGCGUGAGGGAUGAAGGCUUCGGGUUGUAAACCCCUUGUCGGCGGGACGAUGGAAUGCGGCUGCUUCCAGGGGUGACGGGAUCCCUUCCAAGCGCCCCCGGAAUAACUCC